GACGAACGCUGGCGGCGUGCUUAACACAUGCAAGUCGAACGGUAAGGCCCUUCGGGGUACACGAGUGGCGAACGGGUGAGUAACACGUGGGUGAUCUGCCCUGCACUUCGGGAUAAGCCUGGGAAACUGGGUCUAAUACCGGAUAGGACUCCUGGCUUCAUGGUUGGGGGUGGAAAGCUUUUGCGGUGUGGGAUGGGCCCGCGGCCUAUCAGCUUGUUGGUGGGGUAAUGGCCUACCAAGGCGACGACGGGUAGCCGGCCUGAGAGGGUGACCGGUCACACUGGGACGGAGAUAAGGCCUAGACUCCAACGGGAGGCAGCCGUGGGGAAGAUUGCACAAUGGGCGCAAGCCUGAUGCAGCGACGCCGCGUGAGGGAUGACGGCCUUCGGGUUGUAAACCUCUUUCAGCACCGACGAAGCGCAAGUGACGGUAGGUGCAGAAGAAGGACCGGCCAACUACGUGCCAGCAGCCGCCGUAA
RNAcentral lists this ribosomal RNA (478 nucleotides) under uncultured bacterium. Its description in RNAcentral is "partial 16S ribosomal RNA". It matches the Rfam family "Bacterial small subunit ribosomal RNA", at positions 28 to 523 of the family's 1533-position model. The record is from RNAcentral.